CAGUCGCCGCGGUAAUACGGAGGGUGCAAGCGUUAAUCGGAAUUACUGGGCGUAAAGCGCACGCAGGCGGUCUGACAAGUCAGAUGUGAAAUCCCCGGGCUUAACCUGGGAACUGCAUUUGAAACUGUCAGGCUGGAGUCUUGUAGAGGGGGGUGGAAUUCCAGGUGUAGCGGUGAAAUGCGUAGAGAUCUGGAGGAAUACCGGUGGCGAAGGCGGCCCCCUGGACGAAGACUGACGCUCAGGUGCGAAAGCGUGGGGAGCAAACAGGAUUAGAUACCCGAGUAGUCCCUGUCUCUUAUAC
This 301-nucleotide ribosomal RNA is filed under the name uncultured bacterium. RNAcentral describes it as "partial 16S ribosomal RNA". It matches the Rfam family "Bacterial small subunit ribosomal RNA", at positions 509 to 807 of the family's 1533-position model. The record is from RNAcentral.